RNAcentral lists this ribosomal RNA (220 nucleotides) under uncultured Stygiolobus sp. RNAcentral's name for it is "partial 16S ribosomal RNA". It matches the Rfam family "Archaeal small subunit ribosomal RNA", at positions 1050 to 1267 of the family's 1478-position model. Lineage: Archaea; Thermoproteati; Thermoproteota; Thermoprotei; Sulfolobales; Sulfolobaceae. The record is from RNAcentral.
ACCCCCACCCCUAGUUGGUAGCCCCGGUCUCCGGACCGGGUCCACACUAGGGGGACUGCCGGCGUAAGCCGGAGGAAGGAGGGGGCCACGGCACGUGUCAGCAUGCCCCGAAACUCCUGGGCCGCACGCGGGUUACAAUGGCAGGGACAGCGGGAUUCCGACCCCGAAAGGGGGAGGUAAUCCCUUAAACCCUGCCGCAGUUGGGAUCGAGGGCUGAAUC